RNAcentral lists this ribosomal RNA (253 nucleotides) under uncultured bacterium. RNAcentral describes it as "partial 16S ribosomal RNA". It matches the Rfam family "Bacterial small subunit ribosomal RNA", at positions 524 to 776 of the family's 1533-position model. The record is from RNAcentral.
UACGAGUGCUCCAAGCGUUAUCCGGAAUCAUUGGGCGUAAAGGGUGUGUAGGUGGUAAUGUUAGUCUUCUGUUAAAUUCUUCGGCUUAACCGGGGGCAUGCAGGGGAAACGGCAUUACUAGAGGAUGCGAGAGGCACAUGGAACUCAUGGAGUAGGGGUGAAAUGCGUAGAUAUCGAGAGGAACACCUGCGGCGAAGGCGGGUUGCUGGGCUGACACUGACGCUGGGGCGCGAAAGCUAGGGGAGCGAACGGG